UCCAGACUCCUACGGGAGGCAGCAGUGGGGAAUAUUGCACAAUGGGGGAAACCCUGAUGCAGCAACGCCGCGUGAGUGAAGAAGCAUUUCGGUAUGUAAAGCUCUCUCAGCAGGGAAGAGAAUGACGGUACCUGACUAAGAAGCCCCGGCUAACUACGUGCCAGCAGCCGCGGUAAUACGUAGGGGGCGAGCGUUAUCCGGAUUUACUGGGUGUAAAGGGAGCGUAGACGGUUCUGCAAGUCUGAAGUGAAAGCCCGUGGCUUAACCGCGGAACGGCUUUGGAAACUGUGGAACUGGAGUGCUGGAGAGGCAAGCGGAAUUCCUAGUGUAGCGGUGAAAUGCGUAGAUAUUAGGAGGAACACCGGUGGCGAAGGCGGCUUACUGGACAGUGACUGACGUUGAGGCUCGAAAGCGUGGGGAGCGAACAGGAUUAGAUACCCCUGUA
RNAcentral lists this ribosomal RNA (445 nucleotides) under uncultured bacterium. RNAcentral's name for it is "bacterial SSU rRNA". It matches the Rfam family "Bacterial small subunit ribosomal RNA", at positions 330 to 792 of the family's 1533-position model. The record is from RNAcentral.